RNAcentral lists this ribosomal RNA (429 nucleotides) under Bacillota bacterium. RNAcentral's name for it is "Firmicutes bacterium partial 16S ribosomal RNA". It matches the Rfam family "Bacterial small subunit ribosomal RNA", at positions 355 to 776 of the family's 1533-position model. Lineage: Bacteria; Bacillati; Bacillota. The record is from RNAcentral.
UGGGGAAUUUUGGACAAUGGGCGAAAGCCUGAUCCAGCAAUGCCGCGUGUGUGAAGAAGGCCUUCGGGUUGUAAAGCACUUUUGUCCGGAAAGAAAUGGCUCUGGUUAAUACCUGGGGUCGAUGACGGUACCGGAAGAAUAAGGACCGGCUAACUACGUGCCAGCAGCCGCGGUAAUACGUAGGGUCCAAGCGUUAAUCGGAAUUACUGGGCGUAAAGCGUGCGCAGGCGGUUGUGCAAGACCGAUGUGAAAUCCCCGAGCUUAACUUGGGAAUUGCAUUGGUGACUGCACGGCUAGAGUGUGUCAGAGGGGGGUAGAAUUCCACGUGUAACAGUGAAAUGCGUAGAGAUGUGGAGGAAUACCGAUGGCGAAGGCAGCCCCCUGGGAUAACACUGACGCUCAUGCACGAAAGCGUGGGGAGCAAACAGG